GCUGAUAGCCCUACUGCCAUGAACUCAUCUGAUCUCUGAAGCUAAGCAGGGUCAGGCCUAGUUAGUAUUGACUGAGAGCAGGUCAUCUACUAACUAGAUGGUUGAUAAUU
RNAcentral lists this ribosomal RNA (110 nucleotides) under Maylandia zebra (zebra mbuna). The record is from RNAcentral. Lineage: Eukaryota; Metazoa; Chordata; Actinopteri; Cichliformes; Cichlidae.